CCUACGGGAGGCAGCAGUGAGGAAUAUUGGUCAAUGGACGGGAGUCUGAACCAGCCAAGUAGCGUGAAGGAUGACUGCCCUAUGGGUUGUAAACUUCUUUUAUAUGGGAAUAAAAUGUUCCACGUGUGGGCUUUUGUAUGUACCUUAUGAAUAAGGAUCGGCUAACUCCGUGCCAGCAGCCGCGGUAAUACGGAGGAUCCGAGCGUUAUCCGGAUUUAUUGGGUUUAAAGGGAGCGUAGGUGGAUUGUUAAGUCAGUUGUGAAAGGUGGCGGCUCAACCGUAACAUUGCAGUUGAAACUGGCAGUCUUGAGUACGGGAGAGGUAGGCGGAAUGCGUGGUGUAGCGGUGAAAUGCAUAGAUAUCGCGAAGAACUCCGAUUGCGAAGGCAGCUCACGGGACUGCAACUGACACUGAGGCUCGAAAGUGUGGGUAUCGAACAGGAUUAGAUACCCCGGUAGUC
RNAcentral lists this ribosomal RNA (460 nucleotides) under uncultured bacterium. RNAcentral's name for it is "partial 16S ribosomal RNA". It matches the Rfam family "Bacterial small subunit ribosomal RNA", at positions 338 to 795 of the family's 1533-position model. The record is from RNAcentral.